This 246-nucleotide ribosomal RNA is filed under the name uncultured bacterium. RNAcentral's name for it is "partial 16S ribosomal RNA". It matches the Rfam family "Bacterial small subunit ribosomal RNA", at positions 523 to 769 of the family's 1533-position model. The record is from RNAcentral.
AUACGUAGGGGGCUAGCGUUAUCCGGAUUUACUGGGCGUAAAGGGUGCGUAGGUGGUUUCUUAAGUCAGGAGUGAAAGGCUACGGCUCAACCGUAGUAAGCUCUUGAAACUGGGAAACUUGAGUGCAGGAGAGGAAAGUGGAAUUCCUAGUGUAGCGGUGAAAUGCGUAGAUAUUAGGAGGAACACCAGUGGCGAAGGCGACUUACUGGACUGUAACUGACGCUGAGGCUCGAAAGCGUGGGGAGC